Molecule: long non-coding RNA, 2078 nt
Organism: Populus nigra (black poplar)
Lineage: Eukaryota; Viridiplantae; Streptophyta; Magnoliopsida; Malpighiales; Salicaceae
Exons: 3
Source: RefSeq, a predicted model, not a curated record
UUCUUUGUCUUUGUUUUGUUCUCUCUUUCUGGGAUUUUGUCUUCAUCUUUACUUUAGGCGGACCAUGUGUGAACAGAAUAAGAUGAAGAAUUUGCAGAAUUUAAGUUUAGUUAGUGAAAUUAACCUUGGAUACUAUGAAUUGACAUUGCUUAUCAGAUUGUCUCUCUUAUGUGUUACGUAUGAUUUCGCUACAUUCUUGCUUUGAGGUGUUCAGUCUUGGCACAUGUCAUUAUAUAAUAUCUUUAGGCUAAAUUCGUUUUCUACUGUCACAAUAUAUUUGCAUAACUUGGUUGUUUCGUCACUCAAUGUCUUUCAUUUUCCUUCCUUUUGUUUUCCUUUUGAAGGAAGUGAAAGCUAAUAAGGAAUGUUAAUUUGUAGUUUGAUGGGUGAGACUGUUGUUGUUCUUUAGCUGUAUUUUGAUGGGUGGCCUGAUCAAUGAGGUUUCAGAGGAGUCUUGUCGUUAUGAUGCUUUAAUUCUUUUGCUAUCGAUGCUAUCAGUUCGUAGUCGAUUUUGUGUGUUCUUGCCUUUUACUCGAGUUUCAUGGCUUGAUCUGGUGUAGCUGCUGCAGCUGUGUUUUUGAAGUUGUUCUUUUGAGCUUUGGAGGUGCUGGCACUGUUAUCUCUGCGAAGAGGUAGCUGUUGGGAUCGAUUAUGCUGGUUAAUUCUCAAGUUCCUUGUUGUGCCUCGCAAUUUCUUUCCUUGAUGGGUGGAUCUUGUGCUGUAUUGCAAGGUGAGAUAAAUGUUCCAAGCAUUCCAGCUGAGCUACAGCUACCAAAUUCAGACAACACAUUGUAGACAGUUUCUGCUUGGGAAUUAAGUUUCCUGUUGAUCACGCUAUGCUGAGUGGUUUGUGUUGUGGAAUUUCAAUAUAUUUGCCGCUGUGGUCCGUUGUCUUGUGGUGCUGAAAUUAUAUGGUAUGGUGAUAUCUCUUGAAUGUUGGCUAAAUUUGGCUGUCGGCAGUGAGUGUUUGGAGAGGACAUGGAAGUCGCUCUAUCUCUCUUGUAUAUUGCUGCCUUGAAUUAUAUAUGGUUCCUGUCAUCCGGGUAUAGAGUGUGUGUGUGUGUGUGUGUGGGUGUUUUUUCUCCAGUUGUUGAAUGGGGUCCUUUUGUCUUGAGAGUCUACUGUUAAUACUUUGUGUCCACCAUCCUAAUGACUUCAUUAGUUUUUUUGGAUGUAUCUGUUAACGAUUUCUAAUAAAAUUUGGUUUCUAUUCAUUAAAAAAAAAUUAAAAUUGUGGGUGUAGUUUUGAGCUAACUGUAUUCCAUUACAAUAUCCUGACAGCAUUAUUUUCGACAUGUAAAGCUCAUAUCGUGGAGAGAGAGCUAUUACAGGACAAUCCUCCGGCUGCCAACAAUAAUAGUCCAGGUUAUUUCCUUUACUGCUGGUGAUCAAAACUACACGGAGAUCAAUGGAUAUGAAUAAUAACACUUUGAAUGAAGGUUGAAGACUGAGGGUUUUGGCCAACUCCGAUCCAGUGAUUCAGCUUGAUCUGCGCAUUUCUGGGAAAUUAAAACCCGUGAUGAAAUGGUCGAGAUCUGUGGGAAAUAAUAUAUAGAAUGAGCAUUUCCAACUCUAAAUCUGGUCGUUUAUGGGUUACUAGGGCUCCUGUUUCCUUAUUUAUUUUUCUCUUCUUUGUGGCUCACUGGGCUAGAUAACGAUAAAGAUUCUCUCCCACAAAUGCCGGCCGGCUGAUCGUUUUAACCUCUGGGUACAGCUGCAUAUAUUUAAGCUUUGCGAAACCUACCUUUUUUUGUGGAAAAAUCAGAAAAAAGUCGCCCCUCAUGGUGCAUUUUUUGCCAUGGAGGUCUUAUCUCAGUCAUUACCUCAAGUCACAGCCAAUAAAUCACUCUGUUUGUUCUUAGAUCUUUAAGAGAGGAAGAGGUAGGGAGGAAUGUGCACGGUCAGAUCACAUCUAUAGAUUAUAACCGCUAGCAAUGUGUGCUUAAUCAGGUCUUAAAGCUAUUCUAAUGUCCUUAAUUGCUUAUGGUGGUUGGAUUUUAAUAGCAUGAUUGUUUACAAAUAAGUUUUGAACAACAAUUUGACAAUAUCAAUAUCAAUAUAUCUUUUACCCUGAUUUU